RNAcentral lists this long non-coding RNA (821 nucleotides) under Gossypium barbadense (sea-island cotton). Its description in RNAcentral is "long non-coding RNA (GBAR_LNC005205)". The record is from RNAcentral. Lineage: Eukaryota; Viridiplantae; Streptophyta; Magnoliopsida; Malvales; Malvaceae.
CCCUGCCUGGGCUCACUCUUAUAAGCAAGCUUUGGGUUCUGUUUAGUAUAGACUUUCAGGUUCAGAUUUCAGACUGUGAAUCAGUUCUGGUCGCAACUGGUAAGAGUUUGGUCUUUACACGCAUUAAUUUUAAUCAUUUUCUACUAUUGCCAUUGCUUUUACUCUACCACCAUUCUUACUUAAAUAUACGAGUUUUUUAUUUUUUUUAUUUUCUGUGAAAUGUUUUAAUCUCACAAAUGAAGCUAAAAGAACUCUUAUUAAUUGAAUUUUUUUACUCUACUUUUGACACUUACCUUUUUGACCUUGCUUUUGCUUGUGAAUUCUGCUGGGAGUGUAACAAAUGAUUUUUCGUAUAGAUAUAUAUCUUAUUUGAUAAAUAAAUCCAUUUACUGUGGAUUUGUUUUUACUUUCUCUCCUCUUGCGUAAUGUUUGAGUCUUCACGCUGUUUGAAUGACAGUUUCGCAAUUAGUAGCAAAUAUACGAGGAUUUUGGUAAAAAGAUAGUUGGUGGAACAGUCAACCAUCAUGCUCUGCCCUGGUGCGCUGCUUGUUGACUAAAAUGAAACCUACAAAAGAGUGAAGCGAAAGCAUAGGCCCAGCCAUUGAAAAGCUUUUAUGGAGUAGUGGGCGAGUCAAGCGUUAGAAGUAUUGGGUCAACACGAUGUCUAUAUAAAAAAGUAGAAUUUGGCAAUUUGCGGGAAACUUCCUAUUUUGUUAAUUUCUUUGUUUGAAUCUUACUUUUACCAAAACCCAUUCUUUUAUUUUCCAUUGGCUACCAUUAGUUGUAAUUUAAAUUAUAUAUAUAUAUAUUAUAUCUAUAGG